AUGUUUAAAACAAAUGUUAAAACUUUCAACAACGGAUCUCUUGGUUCUCGCAUCGAUGAAGAACGCAGCGAAAUGCGAUAAGUAGUGUGAAUUGCAGAAUUCAGUGAAUCAUCGAAUCUUUGAACGCACAUUGCGCCUCCUGGUAUUCCGGGAGGCAUGCCUGUUCGAGCGUCA
RNAcentral lists this ribosomal RNA (174 nucleotides) under uncultured Wilcoxina. Its description in RNAcentral is "5.8S ribosomal RNA". The stretch from base 21 to 174 matches the Rfam family "5.8S ribosomal RNA". From Rfam's summary of the family: 5.8S ribosomal RNA (5.8S rRNA) is a component of the large subunit of the eukaryotic ribosome. It is transcribed by RNA polymerase I as part of the 45S precursor that also contains 18S and 28S rRNA. The record is from RNAcentral. Lineage: Eukaryota; Fungi; Ascomycota; Pezizomycetes; Pezizales; Pyronemataceae.